Molecule: ribosomal RNA, 404 nt
Filed under: Actinomycetes bacterium
Lineage: Bacteria; Bacillati; Actinomycetota; Actinomycetes
Description: Actinobacteria bacterium partial 16S ribosomal RNA
Rfam family: Bacterial small subunit ribosomal RNA
Source: RNAcentral
UGGGGAAUAUUGGACAAUGGGCGCAAGCCUGAUCCAGCCAUGCCGCGUGAGUGAUGAAGGCCCUAGGGUUGUAAAGCUCUUUCACCGGUGAAGAUAAUGACGGUAACCGGAGAAGAAGCCCCGGCUAACUUCGUGCCAGCAGCCGCGGUAAUACGAAGGGGGCUAGCGUUGUUCGGAUUUACUGGGCGUAAAGCGCACGUAGGCGGACUUUUAAGUCAGGGGUGAAAUCCCGGGGCUCAACCCCGGAACUGCCUUUGAUACUGGAAGUCUUGAGUAUGGUAGAGGUUAGUGGAAUUCCGAGUGUAGAGGUGAAAUUCGUAGAUAUUCGGGGGAACACCAGUGGCGAAGGCGGCUCACUGGACCAUUACUGACGCUGAGGUGCGAAAGCGUGGGGAGCAAACAGG